AUUCAUAUAAUAUAAAUAUUAUAUUUGACUUCCAAUCAAAAAAUCUAAACACUAGUAUGAAUA
This 63-nucleotide transfer RNA is filed under the name Polydrusus marginatus. RNAcentral describes it as "tRNA-Gly". Lineage: Eukaryota; Metazoa; Arthropoda; Insecta; Coleoptera; Curculionidae. The record is from RNAcentral.